RNAcentral lists this ribosomal RNA (163 nucleotides) under uncultured bacterium. Its description in RNAcentral is "partial 16S ribosomal RNA". It matches the Rfam family "Bacterial small subunit ribosomal RNA", at positions 355 to 510 of the family's 1533-position model. The record is from RNAcentral.
UAGGGAAUCUUCCACAAUGGACGCAAGUCUGAUGGAGCAACGCCGCGUGAGUGAAGAAGGGUAUCGGCUCGUAAAGCUCUGUUGUUAAAGAAGAACGUGGGUAAGAGUAACUGUUUACCCAGUGACGGUAUUUAACCAGAAAGCCACGGCUAACUACGUGCCA